GACGAACGCUGGCGGCGUGCCUAAUACAUGCAAGUCGAACGCUGAAGGAGGAGCUUGCUUCUCUGGAUGAGUUGCGAACGGGUGAGUAACGCGUAGGUAACCUGCCUGGUAGCGGGGGAUAACUAUUGGAAACGAUAGCUAAUACCGCAUAAGAGUAGAUGUUGCAUGACAUUUGCUUAAAAGGUGCAAUUGCAUCACUACCAGAUGGACCUGCGUUGUAUUAGCUAGUUGGUGGGGUAACGGCUCACCAAGGCGACGAUACAUAGCCGACCUGAGAGGGUGAUCGGCCACACUGGGACUGAGACACGGCCCAGACUCCUACGGGAGGCAGCAGGAGGGAAUCUUCGGCAAUGGACGGAAGGCUGACCGAGCAACGCCGCGGGAGUGAAGAAGGGUUUCGGAUCGUAAAGCUCUGUUGUAAGAGAAGAACGAGUGGGAGAGUGGAAAGUUCACACUGUGACGGUAUCUUACCAGAAAGGGACGGCUAACUACGUG
This 495-nucleotide ribosomal RNA is filed under the name uncultured bacterium. RNAcentral describes it as "partial 16S ribosomal RNA". It matches the Rfam family "Bacterial small subunit ribosomal RNA", at positions 28 to 507 of the family's 1533-position model. The record is from RNAcentral.